This is a long non-coding RNA of Galleria mellonella (greater wax moth), 437 nucleotides long. RefSeq lists it as uncharacterized. The record is from RefSeq and is a predicted model, not a curated record. The transcript is spliced from 4 exons. Lineage: Eukaryota; Metazoa; Arthropoda; Insecta; Lepidoptera; Pyralidae.
AUAUUGAAAAUCAACUGGUCCAAACAAUAUUCCACGUUUCAUCAUGGAGAACAAUCAUGAACAUCUUGUGUUUCAAAUGGGAAGAACUCUAGCCAGAGUCUCCAAUUGUUAAUCAUCGUUAUCAUUAUCAGCGUACUGAACAUAGGCCCUGUCAAGGUAAAUCAUUGAAGAGCGCGAUUUUUGGGCUUCAAGUUAUUUUCAACCAGCCUAUUGCACCCUCGGCUAAUAUUAAAAAUUAUUACAUAAAAAAAAAUAGGAAAAUCCGGACUUCAAAAAAAAGAAAAUCGGAUCAUUUGGAGGUAUAAUUAAAAGAGAUCAAAACAUAUUUACUGAAUGGAAAAAAUUGGCAUAAUAUGAAGAAAGGUAAAGAAUUAUUCACAAAGGUAUAUUACAAAAAUAUAAAGAAUCACAUUAAAACAUUGAGAACGUAGCACAGA